Molecule: ribosomal RNA, 292 nt
Filed under: uncultured bacterium
Lineage: Bacteria
Description: partial 16S ribosomal RNA
Rfam family: Bacterial small subunit ribosomal RNA
Source: RNAcentral
GUGCCAGCCGCCGCGGUAAUACAGAGGGUGCAAGCGUUAAUCGGAAUUACUGGGCGUAAAGCGUGCGUAGACGGUUAUUUAAGUCGGAUGUGAAAUCCCCGGGCUCAACCUGGGAAUUGCAUUCGAGACUGAAUGGCUAGGGUGCGGAAGAGGGAAGCGGAAUUUCCGGUGUAGCAGUGAAAUGCGUAGAUAUCGGAAGGAACAUCAGUGGCGAAGGCGGCUUCCUGGUCCAGCACCGACGUUCAGGCACGAAAGCGUGGGGAGCAAACAGGAUUAGAUACCCCUGUAGUCC